Molecule: ribosomal RNA, 434 nt
Filed under: uncultured bacterium
Lineage: Bacteria
Description: partial 16S ribosomal RNA
Rfam family: Bacterial small subunit ribosomal RNA
Source: RNAcentral
AGCGAACGCUGGCGGCAGGCCUAACACAUGCAAGUCGAACGAACCUUUCGGGGUUAGUGGCGGACGGGUGAGUAACACGUGGGAACGUGCCUUUAGGUUCGGAAUAACUCAGGGAAACUUGUGCUAAUACCGAAUGUGCCCUUCGGGGGAAAGAUUAAUCGCCUUUAGAGCGGCCCGCGUCUGAUUAGCUAGUUGGUUGAGGUAAUGGCUCACCAAGGCGACGAUCAGUAGCUGGUCUGAGAGGAUGAUCAGCCACAUUGGGACUGAGACACGGCCCAAACUCCUACGGGAGGCAGCAGUGGGGAAUCUUGGGCAAUGGGCGAAAGCUUGACACAGCCAUGCCGCGUGAAUGAUGAAGGUCUUAGGAUUGUAAAAUUCUCUCACCGGGGACGUGAAUGACGGUACCCGGAGAAGAAGCCCCGGCUAACUUCGUG